Molecule: long non-coding RNA, 3186 nt
Filed under: Homo sapiens (human)
Lineage: Eukaryota; Metazoa; Chordata; Mammalia; Primates; Hominidae
Description: HSALNT0140328
Source: RNAcentral
AUGUCAACACGUGACUUUAUCAGUAUUUCUCGAACCAAUGGAUAUUUGGCCCAUUUCUUAUCCACAACCCCCAUUAAAGUCAUUAAAAUGUUUCAUUUAAAUUCUACAGACAAUACAAUUAAUACAUGGAUUCUUCUGGUCUGUGUAUGCAAUUCAUACUACCUUGCUUAGAAGCACUCUCACCAGUGCCCUGUGGAUGAAAUCAGAAUUUUGAUUCCAACUUACAUCACCUUCCUUGGGCAUAAAUACAUUUGAGAAGACGAUGAAAACCAGAAAUCAAAAUGUUGCUUUUCUUGAUACAGCACCAAAUUCCGUACCCUCUCUGAGGCUUCUUGUAGUCAUCCCCUCUCCUCCAAAUUUGCUAAUGUGAUCAUGUUGAUAAAGAGUGAAUAGAUUUAAGUCCUUAUUUUCCUUUGAGCUUUAGCAUAAAGUGCUCCUAAGAACAUAUCUUAUUUAUAUAAAAUAGGCAUGCAUGCAUACACAAUCUCUACCUAUACCAAAGCAUUUUCUUUAUUAUAAUGAGAUGUAUCUUUCUGGAUUUUCUGCACAAUCAGACUGUAAUUAAGCAUAGGAGGCUGCAGGUAAGGGCAUGAGAUGCAUGUUUAAUUAAAAGAGAAAAUUCUGGUUAAGUAUCAAUUUGUAUGACAUUCAAUUUACAAGAAUUCAGAAAGCUACUCUUUCUUAUAUAUUUCCUUUUAUAUAUGUGUAUGUAUUUACACACAUGUAUGUUUCACACUGAAAUCAUAUUCUCAUUUCAUAUGCUAGAGUUGCUGCCACAUUUACUGCCCCCAUCCAAGAAAAUGUUGAUAUAUAUUGAAAAUCUCCAUGAAAAAUAAAAUGCCUGCAUAAAUUCAUGUAGGGCAAAUAAAAAAAGCAGCCAGGACCCAGCAGGCUGAGUCAAUGUAUAGCUUGCAUAUGGAAACAAUGACAUGAUUGUUUACUCACUGGUUUAAUGAUAUUCACUUUCUCCUAAUGGCAACGUGGAAAAUGUGAGUACCAGAUGCUGCGCCCAGAGCACAGAAGAGAGAACAGGGAAGGUCUAGAGUAAGGAAUUUAUCCUGACACCAUAAUGUAGUGUAACUCUUCAGUUUAUUAACGUGGUGUUUUUUUUAGGAAAAAAUGCUUUGAUGUCUGCGGCUUAAAUUUCCAUAUUUUUAUAACAGUUCAGCAACAAAUUUACAUAUUUCCUGGAAUCUGCAGAUAUAAAAGCGGUAAAACACUCCAGGCAUUAUUAGACAGUAGAUUAUAACCCAUUACUAUUGUUUCAAUUAGCAAUGUAAAAGUGACCUGCAGUGUUCCGAUGACCCACUAAUGGAUUUAAACGCUUUCAAAUAUUAAUGCAGGUUUUCUAAAGAUGAAUCCCAAACCCAUUAUUCCUGGAACAACUAUGAGCUGAAAAGCUGGCAAUGAUUGUGCAUUAUGUGGAAAGGCUCAUGGUUAAUUAAAUGAAUACCUAGCAUUACACUAUUCACUUUAGUGCUACAAAAUUAUUUCUCAUUGAUUUUUACAUUCUGAGUCUGUGAUUCAAUUUACUUCUGCAAUUUGUGUUGUCGUGUCAAUAAAAGAGAACUGCUUGAAGAUGGAAGCAUUAGAGACUGAUAAAUACAUUAAGAUCCAAUGAAAACUGCAGUUUUCCUAUUGUUUUCCUCUAUUGAAAUAUCAUUUUUAGCAGCACUUUGUUAUGUAUUAUUAAUACAAUUUUUGUUUGCUUCCAUCUGCUCUCCUCUCCCCUUUUCUAUUCAGGAACUGGAAUGUUAGUGAUUGCUUGAGGGUGAGUAGCUAAUUUUUCAGUAACAGUUCUCUCACUAUCAAGAACAAAAGCACCAUCAACACAAAUCUGUUAUUUCGUGUUAAAUGAACUAGAAGGCCAGAUUCUUCAUCAAAGACAGCGUGGGGAGUUACUGUGUGUGGGUGUGUUUUAAUUUCAAGGAGCAAAUGACACUCCUGUCUGUUAAGCCAUGAAAGCCAAAAAAUAUUAAAUAGUUCUAACCCCAUUAUACAAUUUAUACACUAUAAAUAUAAUCUGAUAUAUUUAUAACGUGCAUAUUUUAUUCAAAAAUUAUAUUACACAUUUUACAAUUGAAUCCACAUGUGCAUUUUCUCUUUGCAACCUACUUUGACUCAGUUCUAUAAAAGUCCAAAAUUGUAAGUUGAGAUUUGCUGUUAACAUUUUUUUUCAAAAUUUUGCAAACUUCAGCUUCAUAGUUUUUGGUGUCUAAAGAAAUCUUACGUGCUAUUUUCAUGUGAUUUAGACUCAUAAUGCAGGAGUUGUUUGGUAUAUAUUGUAAAUUUAAUAUUUCCUGAGAAAAGUUGGUUUACCAGUCAAAUACAGCAAUCAAUAUUGUCUACCUAGUUCAUUGGAGUUUAUGGUGCCCAAACUGUCUCCAUGAAGAUGCUCAUUAGAUCUCAACUUAUCCCAUGUUUAAAUUUGUCUGUACUCUCUUUAGAGAACAUGGGUAAUCAAAUCUUAACUAAGCUGUUACAUUCAUCUCUGAAGGAGUCCCCUUCCAUUGUCUACAAUCUUCUCACAAAACCCAUCUUCAAGACAUUAGUUUUUAUAUUGAUCUGAGUUGCUGAUUAGAGUUUGACCAUUGAUAGGCUAUAGAGCCUACAACAUAGAAAAAUUUACAAUGAAGGUCAUUUCACAAAUAGUUUUAAGCAAAGAGCAUCCUAUAGACAUGAAAUAAUCAAAAUAAUACAAAUGACCGAUAAAUGUAAGUUUAACUUCCCUAUAAAUUAAUGAAUGCUGAUUUAAAGAAAUUAGCUGCAUUUUGCAUAUAAAAUUGUCAAAGUGGAGAAGAGAGCAUAGUAUAAUAUUUAAUAUUGGUGACAGAAUAUAUAUAUAUAUAUAUAUAUAUAUAUAUAUAUAUAUACACACAUAUACAUCCAUACAUAUAUAUAUCACUGGUGGGAUGUACAGAGAUGCAACUUUUCUAAAGGUAGUUUGGACAUAAAGUAUUUUUAAAUUUUGUAAAUUUUUUAUACCUUCCACUCUAAAAUUCUACUUUUUGGAAUUUAAGCUCAAGAAAAAAUUAUAAAUAUGUAAAAACAUUUAGUUUUAUAAGCUGUUCAUCUAGACCUUACUUCAAGUGUCAUUUAUGAGAAUAAAAAAUUUGAAAGCAUCCUAAAUGUUUAAAAUGAGGAAUAUGUUAAUAAAUUAUGGUACUUAGUAUAAUUAAGUAUUAU